CCUACGGGUGACAGCAGUGGGGAAUAUUGGACAAUGGGCGAAAGCCUGAUCCAGCCAUGCCGCGUGUGUGAAGAAGGCCUUCGGGUUGUAAAGCACUUUCAGUGGGGAAGAAAGCCUUGGGGCUAAUACCCUCGAGGAAGGACAUCACCCACAGAAGAAGCACCGGCUAACUCCGUGCCAGCAGCCGCGGUAAUACGGAGGGUGCGAGCGUUAAUCGGAAUUACUGGGCGUAAAGCGCGCGUAGGCGGUCUGAUAAGCCGGUUGUGAAAGCCCCGGGCUCAACCUGGGAACGGCAUCCGGAACUGUCAGGCUAGAGUGCAGGAGAGGAAGGUAGAAUUCCCGGUGUAGCGGUGAAAUGCGUAGAGAUCGGGAGGAAUACCAGUGGCGAAGGCGGCCUUCUGGACUGACACUGACGCUGAGGUGCGAAAGCGUGGGUAGCAAACAGGAUUAGAUACCCUAGUAGUC
This 465-nucleotide ribosomal RNA is filed under the name Vreelandella stevensii. Its description in RNAcentral is "partial 16S ribosomal RNA". It matches the Rfam family "Bacterial small subunit ribosomal RNA", at positions 338 to 795 of the family's 1533-position model. Lineage: Bacteria; Pseudomonadati; Pseudomonadota; Gammaproteobacteria; Oceanospirillales; Halomonadaceae. The record is from RNAcentral.